GAGCCUUCCCCUUCGGGGGACAAAGUGACAGGUGGUGCAUGGUUGUCGUCAGCUCGUGUCGUGAGAUGUUGGGUUAAGUCCCGCAACGAGCGCAACCCUUAAGCUUAGUUGCCAUCAUUAAGUUGGGCACUCUAAGUUGACUGCCGGUGACAAACCGGAGGAAGGUGGGGAUGACGUCAAAUCAUCAUGCCCCUUAUGAUUUGGGCUACACACGUGCUACAAUGGACAAUACAAAGGGCAGCGAAACCGCGAGGUCAAGCAAAUCCCAUAAAGUUGUUCUCAGUUCGGAUUGUAGUCUGCAACUCGACUACAUGAAGCUGGAAUCGCUAGUAAUCGUAGAUCAGCAUGCUACGGUGAAUACGUUCCCGGGUCUUGUACACACCGCCCGUCACACCACGAGAGUUUGUAACACCCGAAGC
Molecule: ribosomal RNA, 419 nt
Filed under: Staphylococcus aureus
Lineage: Bacteria; Bacillati; Bacillota; Bacilli; Caryophanales; Staphylococcaceae
Description: bacterial SSU rRNA
Rfam family: Bacterial small subunit ribosomal RNA
Source: RNAcentral